GGAGGGAGCGAGCGUUGUUCGGAAUCACUGGGCGUAAAGGGCGCGUAGGCGGCCGAGUAAGUCGUGUGUGGAAGACCGGGGCUCAACUCCGUGUACUGCAUGCGAUACUGCCCGGCUGGAGAAAGGUAGAGGCGAGUGGAAUUCCCGGUGUAGCGGUGGAAUGCGUAGAUAUCGGGAAGAACACCUGUGGCGAAGGCGGCUCGCUGGGCCUUUUCUGACGCUGAAGUGCGAAAGCGUGGGGAGCAAACAGGAUUAGAUACCCUGGUAGUCCACGCCGUAAACGAUGGGCACUAGGCGUUGGGAGGAUUGACCCUCUCAGUGCCGUAGCUAACGCGUUAAGUGCCCCCCGCCUGGGGAGUACGGCCGCAAGGCUG
Molecule: ribosomal RNA, 374 nt
Filed under: uncultured organism
Description: partial 16S ribosomal RNA
Rfam family: Bacterial small subunit ribosomal RNA
Source: RNAcentral